Molecule: long non-coding RNA, 548 nt
Organism: Hibiscus syriacus
Lineage: Eukaryota; Viridiplantae; Streptophyta; Magnoliopsida; Malvales; Malvaceae
Exons: 2
Source: RefSeq, a predicted model, not a curated record
CUUUCUAACUCAUUCUUCCCGAUAACAUUGAACCCUAAAAAAUCUAACUCACCUCCUCCCUUUCUUCAUUCACGUGGCGUCCAGCUCCCAACGAACCAACCCUCGUCGCCUUGGCCACCCUACAUGGGUGGCCACUCUACUCGGGCUGGUGACUUACCAAACUAGGGGGAACACCACGAAAACAAGCCCUUAACCUCAACUCACUCUACCUCUCCUCGGACGAGGACCAAACCACGCAAGACCGCCAUAUACAGCGGCCCUUCAACCCCCGAAUCAGUGACAACUAUGCUAUCAUCUCCUAGACGACAAGGCUACCCCGACGAACCCAUGGAAGCAAGGAAAAAUAAAAUAAUGAUAGUGGAAGCACACUAGCAUGGGCACGACAUAGGGACUUGUACGGCGUGGGCAAGGUGUUGGGUAUUGGGAAUGGCAUAUCGUGGGAGAGCAUAGUAUGGGCUGUGCAUGGGGGACAAGUUGUAAAGUGGAGCAUGGGUGAGAUUAAAAUAUGGUGCUCACAAGUUGUUUGAACUCGAGUUUUAUAAAGAAAA